AGCACGCACUACUGCAAGUCGCUUUGGAUAAAAGCAUCUGCGAAACAGCAUAUA
This is a non-coding RNA of Salmo salar (Atlantic salmon), 54 nucleotides long. NCBI's taxonomy places the organism in Eukaryota, Metazoa, Chordata, Actinopteri, Salmoniformes, Salmonidae. The record is from Rfam.